RNAcentral lists this ribosomal RNA (253 nucleotides) under uncultured bacterium. Its description in RNAcentral is "partial 16S ribosomal RNA". It matches the Rfam family "Bacterial small subunit ribosomal RNA", at positions 524 to 776 of the family's 1533-position model. The record is from RNAcentral.
UACAGAGGGUGCGAGCGUUGUCCGGAAUCACUGGGCGUAAAGGGCGCGUAGGCGGUCUGCUAAGCGUGUGGUGAAAGCUCGGGGCUCAACCCCGAGUCGGCCGUGCGAACUGGUGGACUCGAGCACGUCAGAGGCAGGCGGAAUUCCGGGUGUAGCGGUGGAAUGCGUAGAGAUCCGGAAGAACACCGGUGGCGAAGGCGGCUUCCUGGCCUGCUCUUGACGCUGAGGCGCGAAAGCUAGGGUAGCAAACGGG